This 1534-nucleotide long non-coding RNA is filed under the name Chinchilla lanigera (long-tailed chinchilla). RNAcentral describes it as "lncRNA (ENSCLAG00000025460.1)". Lineage: Eukaryota; Metazoa; Chordata; Mammalia; Rodentia; Chinchillidae. The record is from RNAcentral.
AAGAUUUGGUGAGUGCAAAACAACCUCAUGCAUCCAGCUAGAGAUGGUGACAUUUUCAAAGAACGGAAGGGGAACAUGAGCCAUCCUCUCUUCUCAGGAGCACUGCGCCAAGCCCACUACCAGGAAGAGAAGAGGGCAGCCCUGGGGGAGGCUCUCUGGCUGGAUUUCUGGACGUGUGCAUUGAGCAUCUACCACACGAGGGCGCUGUCCCCGGAACGCUCACCGCAGAGGGCCACUAGACAGAGUUCCUUGCACUUGCGAAGCAUCUAUUUUCCGAAGCACAAGGAGUCAGCGAAUCUUCUGUGAAGAGGUGGGUUAUUUCAGCUUGGAGAACCUCUCAGACCCAGCCCAAUGACAGCAGCACCCAGCAUCGCCCAUCAGAGGGUGAGUGGCUCCUGGCAGCAAGGGAAGACGACAGUCGUGGAGUGGCAGAGCCACACGUGGAGGUGGAGUAGCUGCUUCUAUUAGGAAAUCCUCCAGAGGGAGCAGGAACGGACGCCCUUUGAUUCCUUCUCCUGACACAACCUUAAGAAAACCUACACUGUGACGUGGUUCACAUCCAAAAAGCAGGCAACGCAAAGGCAUUCCCAACAUGUGCUUAAUAAGGCCCACACUGGUCAGUUUAAACUCAAAGGCAGCAGUCUUCCGGAGGUGACCCGGCAGGUCUUCAUGAUGGUUACUCACUGUCACCCCCACCUCCUCACCCACACUGCUGAGAUGUGUGGUGCCUGCCUGAGCCCUCUGAUGAUGUCUUUUGGGGGGCCCCCCUGAUGUCCCCUUGCAAAUCCUUCUCCUGGGUUCCAACACAUUCUACCACCUGCGUAGGUUACACAGCCUCUUGCAGUCAUUUUUCCAGUGGCCACCUGCACUUGGGAAAGAGCUACGCUGUUAACUCGUACUAGAAUGACGGCAAAUCAGCAGAGACAAGUCACCAGUCAGCUGCAGGAAAGAGCCAGAACACUGACUCGGUGCUGGGUGGGGCGCGGGACGCUGAGCUGAGCUCUGACGUUGCUCUAAACUUUUGCACUGCGGCCUUGGGACUGCGUCCUCAUAUGUGAUGCUAGGGACAGCCUGGGCUUUUCUGGUUUGGAGACAUUCUGCUCCUGUCCAGAGAAGUUUCCGCAAGACCCUGUCUGGGGUGGACUUGGGGUCACAGUGACCACAAGGCUGGAUUUAGUUCUGUCUCUGAUAUCCGCAGUAGUACCGCCACUCUUUUCAGGGACAUUAGCCCACCACAGCUGCUGACCUGGACUGUGGCUGGAGGACUCCACUGCCCAGCCCUCUGCGCUUCUAAGGGCACUCAGGAAGUCUGUUUUUCAAAUCACAAGGAAGCCAGAAAUGCCAUCGAGGUCCUAGAAGACCUGGCAGGCUAGGUUCUUAGGAUCUCCUCCUCGCUGAUUGCUGAUCACCGGUGUCGCUGCAGACAAGUCCUUCAAGCUCUCUGGCUUUUCAUCAGUGACAUGGGCGCUCUGAACAAGGGCAAGGGUAUCGAAAUUUUGUUUUGCAGCACCUGGGGCACCUUGCCAGACCCUGG